RNAcentral lists this ribosomal RNA (1553 nucleotides) under Klebsiella pneumoniae. Its description in RNAcentral is "bacterial SSU rRNA". It matches the Rfam family "Bacterial small subunit ribosomal RNA". The record is from RNAcentral. Lineage: Bacteria; Pseudomonadati; Pseudomonadota; Gammaproteobacteria; Enterobacterales; Enterobacteriaceae.
ACUUAAAUUGAAGAGUUUGAUCAUGGCUCAGAUUGAACGCUGGCGGCAGGCCUAACACAUGCAAGUCGAGCGGUAGCACAGAGAGCUUGCUCUCGGGUGACGAGCGGCGGACGGGUGAGUAAUGUCUGGGAAACUGCCUGAUGGAGGGGGAUAACUACUGGAAACGGUAGCUAAUACCGCAUAACGUCGCAAGACCAAAGUGGGGGACCUUCGGGCCUCAUGCCAUCAGAUGUGCCCAGAUGGGAUUAGCUAGUAGGUGGGGUAAUGGCUCACCUAGGCGACGAUCCCUAGCUGGUCUGAGAGGAUGACCAGCCACACUGGAACUGAGACACGGUCCAGACUCCUACGGGAGGCAGCAGUGGGGAAUAUUGCACAAUGGGCGCAAGCCUGAUGCAGCCAUGCCGCGUGUGUGAAGAAGGCCUUCGGGUUGUAAAGCACUUUCAGCGGGGAGGAAGGCGUUAAGGUUAAUAACCUUGGCGAUUGACGUUACCCGCAGAAGAAGCACCGGCUAACUCCGUGCCAGCAGCCGCGGUAAUACGGAGGGUGCAAGCGUUAAUCGGAAUUACUGGGCGUAAAGCGCACGCAGGCGGUCUGUCAAGUCGGAUGUGAAAUCCCCGGGCUCAACCUGGGAACUGCAUUCGAAACUGGCAGGCUAGAGUCUUGUAGAGGGGGUAGAAUUCCAGGUGUAGCGGUGAAAUGCGUAGAGAUCUGGAGGAAUACCGGUGGCGAAGGCGGCCCCCUGGACAAAGACUGACGCUCAGGUGCGAAAGCGUGGGGAGCAAACAGGAUUAGAUACCCUGGUAGUCCACGCCGUAAACGAUGUCGAUUUGGAGGUUGUGCCCUUGAGGCGUGGCUUCCGGAGCUAACGCGUUAAAUCGACCGCCUGGGGAGUACGGCCGCAAGGUUAAAACUCAAAUGAAUUGACGGGGGCCCGCACAAGCGGUGGAGCAUGUGGUUUAAUUCGAUGCAACGCGAAGAACCUUACCUGGUCUUGACAUCCACAGAACUUUCCAGAGAUGGAUUGGUGCCUUCGGGAACUGUGAGACAGGUGCUGCAUGGCUGUCGUCAGCUCGUGUUGUGAAAUGUUGGGUUAAGUCCCGCAACGAGCGCAACCCUUAUCCUUUGUUGCCAGCGGUUAGGCCGGGAACUCAAAGGAGACUGCCAGUGAUAAACUGGAGGAAGGUGGGGAUGACGUCAAGUCAUCAUGGCCCUUACGACCAGGGCUACACACGUGCUACAAUGGCAUAUACAAAGAGAAGCGACCUCGCGAGAGCAAGCGGACCUCAUAAAGUAUGUCGUAGUCCGGAUUGGAGUCUGCAACUCGACUCCAUGAAGUCGGAAUCGCUAGUAAUCGUAGAUCAGAAUGCUACGGUGAAUACGUUCCCGGGCCUUGUACACACCGCCCGUCACACCAUGGGAGUGGGUUGCAAAAGAAGUAGGUAGCUUAACCUUCGGGAGGGCGCUUACCACUUUGUGAUUCAUGACUGGGGUGAAGUCGUAACAAGGUAACCGUAGGGGAACCUGCGGUUGGAUCACCUCCUUACCUUAAAGAA